Molecule: ribosomal RNA, 497 nt
Filed under: uncultured bacterium
Lineage: Bacteria
Description: partial 16S ribosomal RNA
Rfam family: Bacterial small subunit ribosomal RNA
Source: RNAcentral
GAUGAACGCUGGCGGCGUGCCUAAUACAUGCAAGUCGAGCGAACGGACGAGAAGCUUGCUUCUCUGAUGUUAGCGGCGGACGGGUGAGUAGCACGUGGAUAACCUACCUAUAAGACUGGGAUAACUUCGGGAAACCGGAGCUAAUACCGGAUAAUAUUUUGAACCGCAUGGUUCAAAAGUGAAAGACGGUCUUGCUGUCACUUAUAGAUGGAUCCGCGCUGCAUUAGCUAGUUGGUAAGGUAACGGCUUACCAAGGCAACGAUGCAUAGCCGACCUGAGAGGGUGAUCGGCCACACUGGAACUGAGACACGGUCCAGACUCCUACGGGAGGCAGCAGUAGGGAAUCUUCCGCAAUGGGCGAAAGCCUGACGGAGCAACGCCGCGUGAGUGAUGAAGGUCUUCGGAUCGUAAAACUCUGUUAUUAGGGAAAAACAUAUGUGUAAGUAACUGUGCACAUCUUGACGGUACCUAAUCAGAAAGCCACGGCUAACUACGUG